RNAcentral lists this ribosomal RNA (497 nucleotides) under uncultured bacterium. Its description in RNAcentral is "partial 16S ribosomal RNA". It matches the Rfam family "Bacterial small subunit ribosomal RNA", at positions 28 to 507 of the family's 1533-position model. The record is from RNAcentral.
GAUGAACGCUGGCGGCGUGCCUAAUACAUGCAAGUCGAGCGAACAGACGAGGAGCUUGCUCCUCUGACGUUAGCGGCGGACGGGUGAGUAACACGUGGAUAACCUACCUAUAAGACUGGGAUAACUUCGGGAAACCGGAGCUAAUACCGGAUAAUAUAUUGAACCGCAUGGUUCAAUAGUGAAAGACGGUUUUGCUGUCACUUAUAGAUGGAUCCGCGCCGCAUUAGCUAGUUGGUAAGGUAACGGCUUACCAAGGCAAUGAUGCGUAGCCGACCUGAGAGGGUGAUCGGCCACACUGGAACUGAGCCACGGUCCAGACUCCUACGGGAGGCAGCAGUAGGGAAUCUUCCGCAAUGGGCGAAAGCCUGACGGAGCAACGCCGCGUGAGUGAUGAAGGUCUUCGGAUCGUAAAACUCUGUUAUUAGGGAAGAACAAAUGUGUAAGUAACUAUGCACGUCUUGACGGUACCUAAUCAGAAAGCCACGGCUAACUACGUG